GGGGGGCAAGAGGGUGGAAACGUUUUUCAUCUUUUGCCUGGGCCUAACUGAGGCUGUCGACGCAAAGGUCUCGCCUCCGGUCGAUGGUUUUGGGGUCAGUUAGGUUAUGGCCGAGCGCCUACACCACCCGAGCUGCCGUCACCUUCCAUCUACUUCCCAAAAAACCUCACAGAGGGUCCUUAACCCUGCUGGCGGCUGGGACCGCAGACGCGGCAGCCUGGCUCUGUCCUCGGAAAGCUCAGGCAGGUGUUUUUGGAUCCUCUCUGGGGCGAGACUCCACCUAGCCUGGAAGGACUCCAAAUCAGUGUGUGGUUUGUGCCUGCCCCAGAAGAAUCUCCUGGGGAGGAGGCCUUGGGCUGGAACCCAUAGCUCACCCACUCAUCUCAUACAUCAUGAAAUGGACUCUUGUCUUACUGACCUCACGUGGGAAUCUGAAGAUCAAGUGAAAUUCCAUGUAAAAGGAAAUUUGCACC
This 473-nucleotide long non-coding RNA is filed under the name Dasypus novemcinctus (nine-banded armadillo). Its description in RNAcentral is "lncRNA (ENSDNOG00000052585.1)". The record is from RNAcentral. Lineage: Eukaryota; Metazoa; Chordata; Mammalia; Cingulata; Dasypodidae.